This 483-nucleotide ribosomal RNA is filed under the name uncultured bacterium. Its description in RNAcentral is "partial 16S ribosomal RNA". It matches the Rfam family "Bacterial small subunit ribosomal RNA", at positions 28 to 523 of the family's 1533-position model. The record is from RNAcentral.
GACGAACGCUGGCGGCGUGCUUAACACAUACAAGUCGAACGAUGAAGCCGGAGCUUGCUCCGGUGGAUUAGUGGCGAACGGGUGAGUAACACGUGAGCAAUCUGCCCUUGACUCUGGGAUAACUGCGGGAAACUGUAGCUAAUACCGGAUACGACACCUUGGGGCAUCCCAGGGUGUGGAAAGAAUUUCGGUCAAGGAUGAGCUCGCGGCCUAUCAGCUAGUUGGUGAGGUAAUGGCUCACUAAGGCGACGACGGGUAGCCGGCCUGAGAGGGUGACCGGCCACACUGGAACUGAGACACGGUCCAGACUCCUACGGGAGGCAGCAGUGGGGAAUAUUGCACAAUGGGCGAAAGCCUGAUGCAGCAACGCCGCGUGAGGGAUGAAGGCCUUCGGGUUGUAAACCUCUUUUAGCAGGGAAGAAGCGAAAGUGACGGUACCUGCAGAAAAAGCACCGGCUAACUACGUGCCAGCAGCCGCCGUAA